Molecule: ribosomal RNA, 879 nt
Filed under: uncultured bacterium
Lineage: Bacteria
Description: bacterial SSU rRNA
Rfam family: Bacterial small subunit ribosomal RNA
Source: RNAcentral
GCGGCGUGCCUAAUACAUGCAAGUCGAACGAAGCUUUCUUUCACCGAAUGCUUGCAUUCACCGAAAGAAGCUUAGUGGCGAACGGGUGAGUAACACGUAGGCAACCUGCCCAAAAGAGGGGGAUAACACUUGGAAACAGGUGCUAAUACCGCAUAACCAUGAACACCGCAUGAUGUUCAUGUAAAAGACGGCUUUUGCUGUCACUUUUGGAUGGGCCUGCGGCGUAUUAACUUGUUGGUGGGGUAACGGCCUACCAAGGUGAUGAUACGUAGCCGAACUGAGAGGUUGAUCGGCCACAUUGGGACUGAGACACGGCCCAAACUCCUACGGGAGGCAGCAGUAGGGAAUCUUCCACAAUGGACGAAAGUCUGAUGGAGCAACGCCGCGUGAAUGAAGAAGGCCUUCGGGUCGUAAAAUUCUGUUGUCAGAGAAGAACGUGCGUGAGAGUAACUGUUCACGUAUUGACGGUAUCUGACUAGAAAGCCACGGCUAACUACGUGCCAGCAGCCGCGGUAAUACGUAGGUGGCAAGCGUUGUCCGGAUUUAUUGGGCGUAAAGGGAACGCAGGCGGUCUUUUAAGUCUGAUGUGAAAGCCUUCGGCUUAACCGAAGUAGUGCAUUGGAAACUGGAAGACUUGAGUGCAGAAGAGGAGAGUGGAACUCCAUGUGUAGCGGUGAAAUGCGUAGAUAUAUGGAAGAACACCAGUGGCGAAAGCGGCUCUCUGGUCUGUAACUGACGCUGAGGUUCGAAAGCGUGGGUAGCAAACAGGAUUAGAUACCCUGGUAGUCCACGCCGUAAACGAUGAGUGCUAAGUGUUGGAGGGUUUCCGCCCUUCAGUGCUGCAGCUAACGCAUUAAGCACUCCGCCUGGGGAGUACGG